Molecule: ribosomal RNA, 620 nt
Filed under: uncultured bacterium
Lineage: Bacteria
Description: bacterial SSU rRNA
Rfam family: Bacterial small subunit ribosomal RNA
Source: RNAcentral
UUUGGGAACAAGGUGCAUCGAUUAACUGUCGAUGCAUUGAUAGUACCAGAAGAGGAAGAGACGGCUAACUCUGUGCCAGCAGCCGCGGUAAUACAGAGGUCUCAAGCGUUGUUCGGAUUCAUUGGGCGUAAAGGGUGCGUAGGUGGCGGGGUAAGUCAGGUGUGAAAUUUCGGAGCUUAACUCCGAAACUGCAUUUGAUACUGCCUUGCUUGAGGACUGGAGAGGAGAUUGGAAUUCACGGUGUAGCAGUGAAAUGCGUAGAUAUCGUGAGGAAGACCAGUGGCGAAGGCGGAUCUCUGGACAGUUCCUGACACUGAGGCACGAAGGCCAGGGGAGCAAACGGGAUUAGAUACCCCGGUAGUCCUGGCAGUAAACGGUGCACGUUUGGUGUGGGAGGAUUCGACCCCUUCUGCGCCGGAGCUAACGCGUUAAACGUGCCGCCUGGGGAGUACGGUCGCAAGAUUAAAACUCAAAGAAAUUGACGGGGGCCCGCACAAGCGGUGGAGUAUGUGGCUUAAUUCGAUGCAACGCGAAGAACCUUACCUGGCCUUGACAUGCAUCUCUAAGUUGGUGAAAGCCAGCGAGUCCCGAAAGGGACAAUUUGCACAGGUGCUGCAUGG